This 2257-nucleotide long non-coding RNA is filed under the name Nicotiana benthamiana. RNAcentral describes it as "long non-coding RNA (NBEN_LNC018127)". The record is from RNAcentral. Lineage: Eukaryota; Viridiplantae; Streptophyta; Magnoliopsida; Solanales; Solanaceae.
UCCCCACUGAGCAACCAAGGAUCCUGGCUGGGAAUACUUUCUGCCUUUAAAUCACACCAUAGUCUUUCCCUAUUGCCUGCAGUAUUAUGAGCAUAUACUACACUCAAAUGGAAUCUGUUUGAAGCUUGUGUGUCCUCCACCAUACAUUGAAUGAAUAGUUCAUUUCUAACAGGUUGUUGUACACCAGCAAAAUAUAUAGCACUUUUGCUGUUAUUUGCUUUCAAUCCUGAUGCUGCAGAAAACUUAUGAAAAGCUUCUUGUAAUAACUGAAUAGAGAUUCUAUCAGCUCUGCAAAACAUGAGAAGAUCAUCAGCGAAGCAAAUAUGCACACAGUUUAACUUUCUGCAUUUAGGAUGGAAAUUAAAAUCUCCAUUCCUAUGAAGUUGUUGCAGCAGUCUGUUAAGAUACUCCAUUGCAAUCACAAAUAAGUAGGGGGACAUAGGAUCCCCUUGCCUAAUCCCUCUCCUAGCCUUGAAAGGUUUAGUGAAUCCUCCAUUUAGCAUCAAGGAAUAUGAAACAGUAGAAACACAUGCCAUAAUCCAGUUGAGGAACUUUGCAGGNNNNNNNNNNNNNNNNNNNNNNNNNNNNNNNNNNNNNNNNNNNNNNGCAGGAAAUCCAAUAUCAAUAAGAACCUGUUGAAGAAAGCCCCAUUCUAAAGUAUCAUAUGCCUUCUUUAAGUCCACCUUAAGGACACAUCUAGGAGACACACCUUUCCUUGUAUAUCCCUUGAAAAUUUCAUGACUGAGUAGGAUAUUAUCAAUGAUACUCCUUCCUUCAAUAAAUGCUGAUUGGGACUGGCCAACUAUAUUGCCAAUUACAGUCUUCAUUCAUUCUCUUUGUAAUUAUCUUGGCAAUGAUUUUGUAUACUGUUGUACAACAGGCAAUAGGCCUAUAAUCUUUGACAGUGGUAGGAUUAGCAUUCUUAGGCACCAGUGCAAUUGCUGUAGUAUUUAUCAUACUAGGCAUAUUGCAAGUAGUAAAGAACUCCAUAGUAGCAGCAACUAUGUCCUCUUGCACUAUCUCCCAGUUUCAUUUGAAGAAUUCCACAGGAAAACCAUCCACACCAGGGGCUUUAUCUGUUGGCAUCUCCUUUGUAGCUUCUACAAUCUCCUCCACUGUGACUUCUUGUAUUAAUUCUCUCUGUUGUACUGCAGUGAGGCAAGUACCUUCUUUCAUAACAGCAGUGUUAAUACAAGGAAUUUCCUCAGCACACUCCCCCAUCAGUGAUUUGAAUACUUGGAUAAAUUCCUGCUCCACAGCUAAUGGCUCUAUCAGCUUGUCACCUAGUUCAGUAUAUAUAGAGCUGAUGUUAUUCUGGCUGGUUCUGAUCUUCCAUUGAGCAUGAAAAUACUUUGUGUUGGCAUCUCCACAUUCAAUCCAGUUAGCUUUGGAUUUCUGUCUCAUAAUCUGUUCCUCCACCUUGCUCCAUUUUUCAAUUUCAGACAUUGCAUUCCUCUCAGCAAUGAGUAGAUUAUGUGCAAAAGGAUCCUGCUGCAUUUGGCUUUGAACAAUCUCCAAUGUUUCUUUUGCUUGAACAAGUUUCUGCUUAUAGGCUGCCAUCUGUCUAUUGAUAUCUUUCAGUUGUUGCUUCAAUAUUUUCAGCUUAGUCCAUACCUUCUGCAUAGGAAGUCCUUCACAUUGCUGUGCCCAUACCUUUUCCAGAAUAGGUUUGAACUGAGGCUCCUCCAUAACUACAUUAUAGAAUCUGAAUGGUUUAGGGUGUAAUAGCCUUUGACUGCCAAAUUUGAUAAGUAUAGGAGAAUGAUCAGAUACAGAAGGGUUCAAGUAUUCUGCCUCAAGGUGCCCAUACUGUUGGAUCCAUUGAAAGUUACCAAGUGCCCAGUCAAUUUUACUAUACACUCUUGUAUUAGCAUCCUGCUUGUUUGACCAAGUAUAAUACCAUCCUUUAGCUCUGAGAGGAGUGAGUUGAAUCACAUCUACAGCCUCUUUGAAAUCCUUGAUUUUAGCAUCAGUGACAGGAGAUCCAAUUCUAUCUUCAAAGUUCAGCAUAGUAUUGAAAUCCCCACUAAGCAACCAAGGAUCCUGGCUGGGAAUACUUUCUGCCUUUAAAUCACACCAUAGUGUUUCCCUAUUGCCUGUAGUAUUAUGAGCAUAUACUACACUCAAAUGGAAUCUGUUUGAAGCUUGUGUGUCCUCCACCAUACAUUGAAUGAAUUGAUCAGUCACUGUAGAUAUGGUUACUUGAAUAUGAGGCUUCCAUAGCAACCAUAUCCUACCAUUGACAGCCUUUGUAUAG